CCCUUCGGGGUACUCGAGCGGCGAACGGGUGAGUAACACGUGGGCAACCUGCCCCUAGCUCUGGGACAACUCCGGGAAACCGGGGCUAAUACCGGAUACGACCUCGCACGGCAUCUCGCGAGGUGGAAAGUUUUUCGGCUAGGGAUGGGCCCGCGGCCUAUCAGCUUGUUGGUGAGGUAACGGCCCACCAAGGCGACGACGGGUAGCCGGCCUGAGAGGGCGACCGGCCACACUGGGACUGAGACACGGCCCAG
This 254-nucleotide ribosomal RNA is filed under the name uncultured bacterium. RNAcentral describes it as "partial 16S ribosomal RNA". It matches the Rfam family "Bacterial small subunit ribosomal RNA", at positions 76 to 334 of the family's 1533-position model. The record is from RNAcentral.